RNAcentral lists this long non-coding RNA (1203 nucleotides) under Homo sapiens (human). Its description in RNAcentral is "HSALNT0288037". Lineage: Eukaryota; Metazoa; Chordata; Mammalia; Primates; Hominidae. The record is from RNAcentral.
CUUGGGCAAAGGCAUCACAGCCGCAGACAUUUCUGGCUAGAAAAAGACUGACACACUAGAGAUUGCACUGGCAUGUGCAUUGGAAUACUCUUCAAUAAAAUUCAUCCUUGUGAAAGUAUACCAUAUGGUGUCAUCAGUAAAUUACUGUAAAAAGGAUAAUUGGAUUUUGAAACCAUAAUUCUCUGGACUAAAGACACUGGGUGCCAUGGAAAGGAAAGGAGACACCUGGAAAUGAGAAGAUGGACUCUUGCCCUAUCGCCCAGACUGGAGUGCAAUGGAGUGAUCUCGGCUCACUGCAGCGUCUACCUCCCCGGUUCCAGCGAUUCUCCUGCCUCACUCUCCUGAGUAGCUGGGAUUACAGGUGUAUACCACCAUGCCAGGCUAAUUUUUUGGAUCUUUAGGGGAGACAGGUUUCACCAUGGUGGCUAGGCUGGUCUGGAACUCCUGACCUCGUGGUCCACCCACCCUAUCCUCCCCAAGUGCUGAGAUGACAGGUGUGAGCCACCUUGCCCAGGCCAUCCAAUAGUUUUUUUCUUUUUUCUUUUUAGAUACACGGUUAGUUUUUCUUUCUUAUGUAAAAAUUGACCCCUCAUUUCCAUUGUGUAAAUCACUCAUAAAUAUCAUUUUCUGUGACUCAUCCUCCAGCAAAGAAAGAUACAUACAUAUCUGUGAAGCAAUGGUUUUUUACCUUUCCAGAGUCACAGACUGUUUUCAGAAAUUAAAGAUCUGCAUUUUUUAAAUUGAAAAUGCUUUAUGGCAGGCCAAUGUACAAACUCUCCAUAUUAAAAUCGCAAAGCAAUAGAUUUGCACAGAUGUUUGCACAUGUAUACACAAAAAAACAAAUAUUGCAAAAUCAAUCUUAAGUACUGAGUUACUUUUUUCCUUUUGGAAAGUUUUAAAUAUUCCAUCGUACUUUGAUAAUACAAAUGAUACGAAGUUCCAGGCCCCAAAGUAGAAAACUCUAAUGUAUAAUGAAUAUAAAUGAGUUCUUCAGAAAACCUGUUGAGUACAGGCAAUCAGCAUUCAUAAACUCAAUUUAGUUUGAAAUGUGUGUUACUUCAAUGCAAACUUAUUACAAUUUUAAAACAAAUUUUAGAUAUUAGUCCAAUCAUUCUUAUAAUACACCUUUAAUACUUAGAAAUAAUUUUGGUGAUUAUCAAUAAGUUAAUUUUCUGUUCAUAAAGGAAAUAAAUAAAAUUGGGA